GACGAACGCUGGCGGCGUGCCUAAUACAUGCAAGUCGAACGCACUCUCGUUUAGAUUGAAGGAGUUUGCUCCUGAUUGAUAAACAUUUGAGUGAGUGGCGGACGGGUGAGUAACACGUGGGUAACCUGCCCUAAAGUGGGGGAUAACAUUUGGAAACAGAUGCUAAUACCGCAUAAAACCUAACACCGCAUGGUGUAGGGUUGAAAGAUGGUUUCGGCUAUCACUUUAGGAUGGACCCGCGGUGCAUUAGUUAGUUGGUGAGGUAAAGGCUCACCAAGACCGUGAUGCAUAGCCGACCUGAGAGGGUAAUCGGCCACACUGGGACUGAGACACGGCCCAGACUCCUACGGGAGGCAGCAGUAGGGAAUCUUCCACAAUGGACGAAAGUCUGAUGGAGCAACGCCGCGUGAGUGAAGAAGGUUUUCGGAUCGUAAAACUCUGUUGUUGGAGAAGAAUGUACCUGAUAGUAACUGAUCAGGUAGUGACGGUAUCCAACCAGAAAGCCACGGCUAACUACGUG
Molecule: ribosomal RNA, 520 nt
Filed under: uncultured bacterium
Lineage: Bacteria
Description: partial 16S ribosomal RNA
Rfam family: Bacterial small subunit ribosomal RNA
Source: RNAcentral